AAACCGUCCACUCCUUUCUCAGUCUCAGCUAAUUUCUUAGUUUCCAGUUCAUUCCAAGGAAAGACCACCAUUCUCCAGCCCCAGAACAGCUAUGCUACUUUCAAGUGCUUUCAUUCAACGAAUGGAUUAAACUAAAAACAGUAGUACUUCCACUCAGGCCCAACGCCCCCUCUCCAGAGAAACCACUGAGCCUCACAGGAGAGCAGCUGGGGCUGAGAGGAGCCAGUUGCUGCUCAGAGGAGGUAGGGGUAAAAAAUCCAAUUCCUAUGGAAGUAUGAAAUCAUAUGACCUCAGCCAGAUCAAGUUGCUGCAGAGGUGAGGAGGGUCCAGACUCCAGGAGACUCUUGUCUGCUCACAUCAGCAUAGCAGAAGGAUGAGUUUCUACCAGGACUACAGGGGAGAUGACACAAGGCAGACAGAGAGAGAAGGACCCCUGAGCUGGCUCAUGCUUGCCUGGAUUCCUAUUCACAGACAAGGAAAUGACCCAUCUGGGAGCUAGGAAUGCUCGGAUCAGCAGCUCUGAGACAAAUGAUACAGUGAAUAUCAGCUAACUACUGCCGCAGUGUCGUGUCUUCUGCCUUCAGCUAACUACUGCAGCAGCACCGUGCCAUGCUUCCUGCCAUAAUGGUGACAGGUUUGACUGUCCCCAGGAACUGUGAUCCCAAAUUAAAUACUUUUGUUUAU
RNAcentral lists this long non-coding RNA (684 nucleotides) under Mus pahari (shrew mouse). RNAcentral describes it as "predicted gene 28505 (MGP_PahariEiJ_G0003078.1)". Lineage: Eukaryota; Metazoa; Chordata; Mammalia; Rodentia; Muridae. The record is from RNAcentral.